GAUGAACGCUGGCGGCGUGCCUAAUACAUGCAAGUCGAGCGAACGGACGAGAAGCUUGCUUCUCUGAUGUUAGCGGCGGACGGGUGAGUAACACGUGGAUAACCUACCUAUAAGACUGGGAUAACUUCGGGAAACCGGAACUAAUACCGGAUGAUAUUUUGAACCGCAUGGCUCAAAAGUGAAAGACGGUCUUGCUGUCACUUAUAGAUGGAUCCGCGCUGCAUUAGCUAGUUGGUAAGGUAACGGCUUACCAAGGCAACGAUGCAUAGCCGACCUGAGAGGGUGAUCGGCCACACUGGAACUGAGACACGGUCCAGACUCCUACGGGAGGCAGCAGUAGGGAAUCUUCCGCAAUGGGCGAAAGCCUGACGGAGCAACGCCGCGUGAGUGAUGAAGGUCUUCGGAUCGUAAAACUCUGUUAUUAGGGAAGAACAUAUGUGUAAGUAACUGUGCACAUCUUGACGGUACCUAAUCAGAAAGCCACGGCUAACUACGUG
This 497-nucleotide ribosomal RNA is filed under the name uncultured bacterium. RNAcentral describes it as "partial 16S ribosomal RNA". It matches the Rfam family "Bacterial small subunit ribosomal RNA", at positions 28 to 507 of the family's 1533-position model. The record is from RNAcentral.